Molecule: ribosomal RNA, 253 nt
Filed under: uncultured bacterium
Lineage: Bacteria
Description: partial 16S ribosomal RNA
Rfam family: Bacterial small subunit ribosomal RNA
Source: RNAcentral
UACGUAGGGUGCGAGCGUUAAUCGGAAUUACUGGGCGUAAAGCGUGCGCAGGCGGCUUUGCAAGACAGAUGUGAAAUCCCCGGGCUCAACCUGGGAACUGCAUUUGUGACUGCAAGGCUAGAGUACGGCAGAGGGGGAUGGAAUUCCGCGUGUAGCAGUGAAAUGCGUAGAUAUGCGGAGGAACACCAAUGGCGAAGGCAAUCCCCUGGGCCUGUACUGACGCUCAUGCACGAAGGCGUGGGGAGCAAACAGG